AGAGUUUGAUCCUGGCUCAGAACGAACGCUGGCGGCAGGCUUAACACAUGCAAGACGAGCGCCCCGCAAGGGGAGCGGCAGACGGGUGAGUAACGCGUGGGAAUCUACCGUGCCCUACGGAAUAGCUCCGGGAAACUGGAAUUAAUACCGUAUACGCCCUUCGGGGGAAAGAUUUAUCGGGGUAUGAUGAGCCCGCGUUGGAUUAGCUAGUUGGUGGGGUAAAGGCCUACCAAGGCGACGAUCCAUAGCUGGUCUGAGAGGAUGAUCAGCCACAUUGGGACUGAGACACGGCCCAAACUCCUACGGGAGGCAGCAGUGGGGAAUAUUGGACAAUGGGCGCAAGCCUGAUCCAGCCAUGCCGCGUGAGUGAUGAAGGCCC
RNAcentral lists this ribosomal RNA (379 nucleotides) under uncultured Alphaproteobacteria bacterium. RNAcentral's name for it is "bacterial SSU rRNA". It matches the Rfam family "Bacterial small subunit ribosomal RNA", at positions 8 to 417 of the family's 1533-position model. Lineage: Bacteria; Pseudomonadati; Pseudomonadota; Alphaproteobacteria. The record is from RNAcentral.